Amphiprion ocellaris (clown anemonefish) is the source of this 355-nucleotide long non-coding RNA. The record is from Ensembl. NCBI's taxonomy places the organism in Eukaryota, Metazoa, Chordata, Actinopteri, Pomacentridae.
CCUCGGUUCCCUCAUGUUGACGUUCUGUCGGUUACUCCUCGGUUCCCUCAUGUUGACGUUCUGUCAGUCCCCUCACGUUGAUGUUCUGUCAGGUUUCUCCUCAGUUCCCUCAUGUUGACGUUCUGUCAGUUCCCUCAUGUUGACGUUCUGUCAGGUUUCUCCUCAGUUCCCUCAUGUUUACGUUCUGUCAGGUUCCUUCAUGUUGACAUUCUAUCAGGUUUCUCCUCAGUUCCCUCAUGUUGACGUUCUGUCAGGUUCCUUCAUGUUGACGUUCUAUCAGGUUUCUCCUCAGUUCCCUCAUGUUGACGUUCUGUCAGGUUCCUUCAUGUUGACGUUCAGUCAGGUUCCUCCUGGG